Gigantopelta aegis is the source of this 535-nucleotide long non-coding RNA. RefSeq lists it as uncharacterized. NCBI's taxonomy places the organism in Eukaryota, Metazoa, Mollusca, Gastropoda, Neomphalida, Peltospiridae. The record is from RefSeq and is a predicted model, not a curated record. The transcript is spliced from 2 exons.
CAAUAAAAUAAAACAUGAUUAUAACGUGUUCCAAAUUUACUAACAAAAAGAGGAAUAGAAAGAAGAAGAGGUAAAGGAAGAAAGGAUAACGAGGAUGAAGAGGUUUAUUACCUUUAAAGAAGAAGAGGUAAAGGAAGAAAGGAUAACGAGGAUGAAGAGGUUUAUUACCUUUAAAGAUUUUACAUCAUUUACAAUUAGAUGUCAGAAGAGAGAGAACAUAUGUGACUGGUUAAUUAAUUUCAAAAUGUUUUCUAAACUUAUUUCAUUGUAGAUAGAAUAUACAACACAACUUUAGUACUCGUAUACACACUAAACUUUAUGGGCAACAUUUACAGUCUUUUUUGUCUUACAUGCAUGUAACUACAUACAUAACUUUACAAUGCUUAAACACCUGCUUAUAAACACCUGCCUUUAAAAACAUGCUUAUAAACACCUGCCUUUAAACACCUGCUUAUAAACACCUGCUUAUAAACACCUGCCUUUAAACACAUGCUUAUAAACACCUGCCUUUAAACACCUGCUUAUAAACACCUGC